CCAGAACAAACAUCACACCUCUUUCAAUAAUUGCCUAUAAAUUCUGAAGCAUGGAUUCAUUUUUUAAACACUAAAAACACUACAGAACUUUCUUCUUUCUGAAAAUACUGCAUUCUAAUUUGCAGUCUCUCUCUCAUAUUCAUAAGUAUGAUUUUGCUCCGUUCUUUGAGUUUGUUGGUAUCCUGCAGUUUGUAUUUAUACAGUUGCAGGAAGGUUUAUUCCGUUUCAUCCUA
RNAcentral lists this long non-coding RNA (233 nucleotides) under Nicotiana benthamiana. RNAcentral's name for it is "long non-coding RNA (NBEN_LNC005966)". The record is from RNAcentral. Lineage: Eukaryota; Viridiplantae; Streptophyta; Magnoliopsida; Solanales; Solanaceae.